This 272-nucleotide ribosomal RNA is filed under the name uncultured bacterium. Its description in RNAcentral is "partial 16S ribosomal RNA". It matches the Rfam family "Bacterial small subunit ribosomal RNA", at positions 524 to 794 of the family's 1533-position model. The record is from RNAcentral.
UACGGAGGGGUUAGCGUUGUUCGGAAUUACUGGGCGUAAAGCGCACGUAGGCGGAUCAGAAAGUUGGGGGUGAAAUCCCCGGGGCUCAACCCCCGGAACUGCCUCCAAAACUUCUGGUCUGGAGUUCGAGAGAGGUGAGUGGAAUUCCGAGUGUAGAGGUGAAAUUCGUAGAUAUUCGGAGGAACACCAGUGGCGAAGGCGGCUCACUGGCUCGAUACUGACGCUGAGGUGCGAAAGUGUGGGGAGCAAACAGGAUUAGAUACCCGCGUAGU